Vicugna pacos (alpaca) is the source of this 2961-nucleotide non-coding RNA. The record is from RefSeq and is a predicted model, not a curated record. NCBI's taxonomy places the organism in Eukaryota, Metazoa, Chordata, Mammalia, Artiodactyla, Camelidae.
CAAAGGGCCCGGGGAGAAGGCAGAACAGCAGGGAAGUGUGGUAAACAGUGGGUUUAACAAGACCAAAGCAUCAGUCAUCUGGAUAAAUGUGAAUAAAUCUGGCCAAAUACGGUUGACGUAAGUCAGCUAAAUGAAAACUAAAGAAGCCUCAGGAAACCCCUGGUUUUGUGCUGGACGGCUGAGCUGGUCGGUUUGAGGGGACAGUGGCAAACUGAGUCCCGUUCCCUGACAUGUGUUUGCGCAGGGGCCAGAAGGACAGUCACACACACAGAGGCCUGGGAAGGAGCUGGCCUCUUGCAGAAUUGGUACCCAUGGGCCCGAGGGAGGCACCUGUCAGCCAACUCUUGGAGCACACUCCUGCGUUAAAACAUCCUUUCCCACCUCUCUCACACAGAGCACCUGUCUCUUGCGGGGCUGUCCCAGACCCCCAAGCAUCAUUCUGACCAGAUGUGCAUUCUCCUCCAGGAGAACCCCUCUCAAACCAGGCAGCCCGGGGCCACCAAAAAUCACUGAGGGGCUGAGCAACUUCUUUAUCCAAAAGCACUUUAAAAUGCUCAAAGUAUUCUAAUCAUUCCGUUCACAAGCAGGAUUCUUAUCUUUCACAUGAGCAUGGCUGUGAUUUGCUCGGACACACGGUGACUCUGACUCAGCGAGGACAAGCACCCCCCUCCAGUCCCCUCCCACGGCCCAUCCCGCACCCACCCCUGCAGUGUUGCACAGGAGCACGUUGCUUCUUGUGUUGAACCGUGGUAGCUUUGCCAGGCAAGAAUCUUACCAGCUUAUAAUUACAAACGAUGCACUGUGAUUGGUUCCCUCAUAAGCAGGUAACACUUCUGAAGUGAAGGGUCCCCAACAGGAGCAGCUCAGGCUAUAAAACCCUUGGAGCCUUAAUGAAACAAGGACCUUAAGAGACAGAGGCUGGUCUGAGGGCAGAGGGUGUGCAGAGGGAGGGCUCUUUCCAGCAUGGGGGUGGGAGGGCAGAAUGGGGUGGAAGAGGAGAGUUCAGAGAGGGAGAAUUAAAAUUGCAUUCAUUCAUCUGUUCAUUCACUCAGUCACCUAGCACCGAACAUACCAUGCAGUGCUGACACCAGCUGUGCCCACAGUCUAGCUGGGGAGACGGACAAGUCAGGGGACAACUGCAAAGCCAGGGGAUCAGCGAGGCUGGGUCGCCUCAGGCCAAUUUCAUUUGGCCUUAGUUUUCCGAAGCGCCUCAAGGAGAAAGAAGGCAAAGACUUUGAGCUCUGGGGAUGAAAGGCUCAGACCACCACUCCCUGUAAAACAGGGCGGAUGACGCCGCUGCUCUGUUUGGCGGACCGCUGGUGCCCGGCCACCAGCCCCAGCUCCUCCUCGCCCUCUUCUGCUAUCAGGCCAGGAUCCAUCCCAGGUGGCAAAGGCAUCUGAUAGCUGCCCUGGACCAGCACGCCCUGCACUUCUCGGGUACCCAGCCCCUCAUGUUUCCAGGCCAAAAGAGUAGUUUCCAAUGUGGCAGCUGGAUCAAGGGGACACUUCACGGCCUCCCUGACAUGCGUGAGGACAGUCCGCACAAUAGAAGGGGACUCGCAGCCCGCUCACUCCCCUCGCUUCCCAGGCUGUUGAAGGGGCACCUGUUGCUACAUGGGCUCUGGGAUGCCAUGAGCCAGAUGGCACCCCCGGGCUUGUACGAACACCACCUCUGCCAGGCGAGGCCAGGAAUGGCCCCAGGGCGCCUGGAGGGCACACCCUUCGCUUGGCCCAACCGGAAACAAGUCUCCUUUUUCCUCUCUCACCACGCCCCUUCUUCCUCUUUUCCUUCCCCCCAGCCCAGGCCUGGGGCCUGCCUACCUGUGUCCUGCUCAGACAGACCACCCCAGGGCCUGACCCCGCCUCCUUUCUAGAGCCCCCAAACACCCGGAUUCAGCCUCCAUAACCAGCUACAGUUGCCCGGGAAACAGCUGCCAGAGGAGAACGGGGCAUGUAGACAGCUCACACUCUCCAGGGAGGCGGCAGCCUCGUAAAUGCACGGACAUUAGGCACGGCUGAGAGGUAACCUUGCCUACGUGUUUCAGAAGAGGACACACACCUGGGGGUUACCCUAUCUUCUUAACAGUUCAUUUGUGUGCAUUAAGUAAUUAAUUCACUUAUCUGAUUUGCAGAAUGAUGCCUAAAGGUUGGUCUUCUGGAUCGUCAACAUCCAACCUCUGGGUGAGGUUUUAGAAUUAGCACCUUCCUCAAUUAGGAAGAUGCCUUUCUGCACCCUUCACGCCUGAGUCCCCAGGGAUGGGGGCUCACUGAGCUCUACCCCCAGCUCCCCAGGGAACCGGGCUUGGGGAUCCCAGUCUGAGGCCCCUACACUACCACCUCUGCUUGACACUCACCCCAAAGGCCACAGGCCUCACCAACCCAAGCCCCACAGCCGCAGGCUCUGGGGUGCCUCGCUGGCCCUGACUCCCGAAAAAGCAUGGCUUUCAGGAAAGCCGGGCAAUGUCUGGAAAGUCAAUCAGGAGGAACUGGGGAAAGGCCAAGGACUCAGCCUCAGUGAGGACCACAGCGAACAGGAACAGGGAGGCUGGACCCAGCUCUGCAGGGGAAACACAGUACCUCUCACAUCCGAACUCUCCCUGCGCUUCUCCUUCAAAGUGCUCCCUUCCCGCCCCACUCCCUCUGCCAGCACUUCAGCUCCCGUGUCCUCUCUAAGCUGCGCUGUGAGACUAACGGAGCACCCACGGCUGACAAGCCUAGCCAGGCCGCACAGGACCAGCAGGGCCAGGCGGAUAGGCAGGCAUGCGGCCAGCACGCCUAGGUCCACAGCGCCUCACUGAGCCUCCUGGAGGGUCCUGGGCAAGGACUCCUGGUUACAGGUUUUGCAGAGGAGUUGGGGAGGCCGCUGGCUGGGCUCUGUCUCUCGGAGCCCUGGGGUUUUAGGAUGGGCAGCCCUGCCUUCCCCACUGCCCUGCGGCGGCGUCCUGCCGGAGGUGGGCAGAG